This is a long non-coding RNA of Ornithodoros turicata, 1548 nucleotides long. RefSeq lists it as uncharacterized. NCBI's taxonomy places the organism in Eukaryota, Metazoa, Arthropoda, Arachnida, Ixodida, Argasidae. The record is from RefSeq and is a predicted model, not a curated record. The transcript is spliced from 3 exons.
CGCAAAGACAAGAUGGCUUAGCGCUUGAUAUUACUUCCAGGAAAGCAGCCUUGGUCUUUCCACAUCAUGUCGAGCGUGAUCACCUACAAAACUGUUAGGGAAUUAAUGGCAUAGACAAGAUGGCGUAGGUGCUUUAUAUUACUUCCAGAAAAGCAACGUUGGUCUUUCCAGUUGAUUCCGUCAGUGUAAUCGCCCGUAAACACCUGUGCAUCAUAUCGACACAAUCUUGCCGUUCCCGGUCAUGAAGCUGGACAAACCUAAGUCGCUUGCUCCUGCGUAUUACUCGACGGUAUACCAGUUUGAGACUGCUUAUCUGCAUUGUUCAUGAAGAUGUGCUCUCGUCAAGAUGCUGCAUUAAUUAAUCGAAUGCGACUCGAUGUGGCUUUUACAGCUUAGUGGCGUCACCGCUUGAGACAAUUUGGUUCUCCCAGAUUCUAUCACUGUGGUGUUCUAGAGGAUCUGGAGCACGUUCUUCUUCAUUGCCCACACUACCAACCUUCCUGAAUCGCACUCUCCGAGUCUCUUACACAGCUGCACUCUCGCCCCUUCUCCCGAUCGAAAUUGCUUGGUUCCUGGCCCAAUCCAGCCCAUUUGAACUCCGGCCCAUGUAGGACUGUACAGACUAGGUCGAGAACUGGAUCCAUGGUGUUCAAGAGCACCACAGUGGCAGCAGGUGGGAGAGUCAACUUGUAACGCUACUGAGCUGUAAAGGCCACAUCGAGGCGCAUUCGGAGGAUUAAUGCAGUAUCUUGACGAGAGAUGUUUCGUGGCAUGCGGAAAGCGAGCGUUGGAUCAACUCUGCUCAACAUAGAUGGGUGGAGAAUGUCGGUUGUCCAUUGGCAAGAGGUCAGGUGUGUCACGAGGCGUCGCAGAAUGGAACGGCGGUCUCUUCUCAGCAGAGCAAUACUGGACCGUGUCCGAUACGAGAGUGCUGCUUCUCCGGCGCUGUCGGCCUGCCCGUUCCCCACGACACCACAAUGGGCUGGAACCCACUGGAGAACUAGCCUAUGGCCCGCUGCGUAGACAGUGUGGCGUCCCAGCAAACUCGAAAUCCAGCAAGUUCUCGCCGCAGGAGGCCCCUACCUCCACGUUCCUCCACCGCGCCAGGAUAGAGGCCGCCCGGGCUUCGAGGGUUUGAGAUGCCGAUGUGGUAGCAGCCCUUGCGAUCAUCCAAAGACAGACCGGAAACGUUACGGGACACCAAGCAGCAACCUGCAGAGCCGCCAAGAGGAAAUGACGUCGUAAUCGACAUCCCCGACGACGAGAUGGACGACCUUCUCUGAAAAUAUGAACUGAAUUGCGUGUGUGAUCGCGCCUUGGGAUCUCUUUUGUUUUUCAGUGCCGUGACGGCACGUCGAGUUUUUUGGUCGGGGGAGUGUCGGGUUUGGAGAUAGUGACUUAUCUCGCGGCCGGUGCAGCCGGUUAUCGCCCGCUGAUAUCGUACACGUGCAGUAGUAGGGGGCGCUGACGACUGUCAUCGAUACCCUUAAAAAGGCGGGCGUGUUUGCAUUGUGACACUUCCCGGGGGAUCCUCGAGCUGGUCACGGA